This 218-nucleotide ribosomal RNA is filed under the name uncultured bacterium. RNAcentral describes it as "partial 16S ribosomal RNA". It matches the Rfam family "Bacterial small subunit ribosomal RNA", at positions 326 to 539 of the family's 1533-position model. The record is from RNAcentral.
ACGCUCGACACCUACGGGAAGCAGCAGUGAGGAAUAUUGGUCAAUGGGCGCAGGCCUGAACCAGCCAAGUAGCGUGAAGGAUGACUGCCCUAUGGGUUGUAAACUUCUUUUAUAUGGGAAUAAAGUUUUCCACGUGUGGAAUUUUGUAUGUACCAUAUGAAUAAGGAUCGGCUAACUCCGUACCAGCAGCCGCGGUAAUCUGAGCGGGCUGGCAAGGC